This 556-nucleotide ribosomal RNA is filed under the name Arthrobacter sp. Its description in RNAcentral is "bacterial SSU rRNA". It matches the Rfam family "Bacterial small subunit ribosomal RNA", at positions 510 to 1064 of the family's 1533-position model. The record is from RNAcentral. Lineage: Bacteria; Bacillati; Actinomycetota; Actinomycetes; Micrococcales; Micrococcaceae.
AGCAGCCGCGGUAAUACGUAGGGCGCAAGCGUUAUCCGGAAUUAUUGGGCGUAAAGAGCUCGUAGGCGGUUUGUCGCGUCUGCUGUGAAAGGCCAGGGCUCAACUCUGGUUCUGCAGUGGGUACGGGCAGACUUGAGUGAUGUAGGGGAGACUGGAAUUCCUGGUGUAGCGGUGAAAUGCGCAGAUAUCAGGAGGAACACCGAUGGCGAAGGCAGGUCUCUGGGCAUUAACUGACGCUGAGGAGCGAAAGCAUGGGGAGCGAACAGGAUUAGAUACCCUGGUAGUCCAUGCCGUAAACGUUGGGCACUAGGUGUGGGGGACAUUCCACGUUUUCCGCGCCGUAGCUAACGCAUUAAGUGCCCCGCCUGGGGAGUACGGCCGCAAGGCUAAAACUCAAAGGAAUUGACGGGGGCCCGCACAAGCGGCGGAGCAUGCGGAUUAAUUCGAUGCAACGCGAAGAACCUUACCAAGGCUUGACAUGGACCGGACCGGGCUAGAGAUAGUCCUUCCCUUCGGGGCUGGUUCACAGGUGGUGCAUGGUUGUCGUCAGCUCGUG